Molecule: ribosomal RNA, 447 nt
Filed under: uncultured bacterium
Lineage: Bacteria
Description: bacterial SSU rRNA
Rfam family: Bacterial small subunit ribosomal RNA
Source: RNAcentral
CGCCAGACUCCUACGGGAGGCAGCAGUGGGGAAUAUUGCACAAUGGGGGAAACCCUGAUGCAGCAACGCCGCGUGAGUGAAGAAGUCAUUCGUGAUGUAAAGCUCUAUCAGCAGGGAAGAAAAUGACGGUACCUGCAAAGGAAGCACCGGCUAACUCCGUGCCAGCAGCCGCGGUAAUACGGAGGGUGCGAGCGUUAAUCGGAAUUACUGGGCGUAAAGCGCUCGUAGGCGGUAUGUCAAGUCAAGGGUGAAAUCCCCGCGCUCAACGUGGGAACUGCCUUUGACACUGGCAAACUGGAGUGUGUGAGAGGAUAGUGGAAUUCCAGGUGUAGGAGUGAAAUCCGUAGAUAUCUGGAGGAACAUCAGUGGCGAAGGCGACUAUCUGGCACAUAACUGACGCUGAGGAGCGAAAGCGUGGGUAGCAAACAGGAUUAGAUACCCGAGUAC